UGGGGAAUAUUGGACAAUGAGCGCAAGCCUGAUCCAGCAAUACCGCGUGUGUGAAGAAGGCCCUAGGGUUGUAAAGCACUUUCAAUGGGGAGGAAAACCUGCCGACCAAUACCCGGUAGCUUGACACUACCUUUAGAAGAAGCACCGGCUAACUCCGUGCCAGCAGCCGCGGUAAUACGGAGGGUGCGAGCGUUAAUCGGAAUUACUGGGCGUAAAGCGUGCGUAGGCGGUUCGUUAAGUCAGAUGUGAAAGCCCUGGGCUCAACCUGGGAACUGCAUUUGAAACUGGCGAACUAGAGUUGGGUAGAGGGGAGUGGAAUUUCAGGUGUAGCGGUGAAAUGCGUAGAUAUCUGAAGGAACACCAGUGGCGAAGGCGACUUACUGGACUCAAACUGACGCUGAGGUACGAAAGCGUGGGUAGCAAACAGG
Molecule: ribosomal RNA, 428 nt
Filed under: uncultured bacterium
Lineage: Bacteria
Description: bacterial SSU rRNA
Rfam family: Bacterial small subunit ribosomal RNA
Source: RNAcentral